This is a long non-coding RNA of Lepus europaeus (European hare), 267 nucleotides long. RefSeq lists it as uncharacterized. Lineage: Eukaryota; Metazoa; Chordata; Mammalia; Lagomorpha; Leporidae. The transcript is spliced from 3 exons. The record is from RefSeq and is a predicted model, not a curated record.
AGUGCAUAAAAAGCUAGGAAGACGGAAUGCUCACUCUCCUCCAUGAGGACUCCGGACGAGCAGAGAGGGUCUCAUCACUUUCUUUAGAAGACAGGAGAGAUUCAAAACAAAAGCCAAAUUCAACAACCAGCACAGGAAUUCCUACUUUCAUAUCUUCAUUAAUCUGUGAUAAGAUCAUAAUGCUCCAUUGUAACAAAAUUUACUACCAUACCCCGAAAAUCUAAGGUAAAAAACAGAUUUAUGGUAAAAUGAUUAUUAAUUCAUGAA